RNAcentral lists this long non-coding RNA (11694 nucleotides) under Triticum aestivum (bread wheat). RNAcentral describes it as "long non-coding RNA (TAES_LNC001333)". The record is from RNAcentral. Lineage: Eukaryota; Viridiplantae; Streptophyta; Magnoliopsida; Poales; Poaceae.
CAGCUAGCCCCACACGCCCUCCUCUUCUCGCUACAGGAGGCUGGGAUGGCCGUGGCUAGCCCCGCCGGCCGUGGCCACUUGCGUGGCAGCCAUCCGACCUCUCCCGGCGUCCUACUCGACCUACAAGUCCUCCCCGAACCCCCCUUGACGAACCCUAGCGUCCUAAGUGCAUUCCCCCUUUUCCCCUUGCUAGAUCCGCCCACUCCCGAUAGCCUCCGCCGCUCACCGCCGUUGAUUCCGCGCUCUCCGACGACCCCGAGCCCCGGCGAGAUGUCACGGAGCUUCGCCGCCCUCUGCUGCGUCGCCUGAGCCGAGCCACUGGAGACGACGGGCUCGGCAUCGAGCGGAUCGAGCUCGUCUCCGUCUUCUGCGUCGCCGGUGACCGCCGCCGUCUUCGUCAUCCCCUGCUGCUACAAAGCUGUCGAGGGCCUUUCUUGGCCGCUCGGUGAGCUCCUCUCUCCCUCCGUUCCUUCUUCCCGCGGCCGCAUUCGUCCCUAGCUAGUUCGCCACCGUUGCCGUGCCUCUGCUUCCGCCGGCGUGCUCGAAGCCGUGCUGUUGCUCUGCGUCGAGCUCAGAUGAGCUCGGGAUCAAUGCUCAUCACGUCCGUGCGGGCCCGUUGCACCCCUCCCUCGCGCUCUAUCGAGCCCCGUAGCGCUCAGUUCCAGCCACCGCAGCAUCUCGCACCACCGCCAUUCGACAUGACGUCGUCCGGCCGUUCAAACGCACCCUGCCCGCGCUCUCACGCGCAUGUGCCCGGGCUUGUCCGCGGCCCGGCCCUGCCGCCACGACCGCGCCCUGCUGCUGUUGCCGCUUGCCACUGCUGCUUGCGCCUCCGCCGCUUGCUUGUACUGCCGCUGCUACUCUGCGUACUGCUGCUGUGGCCUGAUGCUGCCACUGCCGCUUGCCGUCGCCCACCGCGGAGCCACUGCCGCAGCCGCCCCGCGCUCGCGCACCGCGUGCCCGCACUGCCGCGCUCGGCGCUGCUCCCCCUCGCCUGCCGUUGCGGCUGCCCCGCCUACGCACGCCUGCAGCGCCCGAGCCAUGCCACUGCCCAACGCUGCUCUAUUGUACUACUACUAUCUACUGUAGCUGCUACUAGUUAGCUUUUGGUUUUCUAUGUUGACUAAGCCCCUAAACAGCCCCUAAUCAGUGGUUAAACAGUUUUUAAUAUGUGUAAAAAUAAUAUGAAUAGGUAGUACACUUGACGAGGCUCAAAUGUUUUCAUGGGACCAAAUCCACUUGAUACAUGGUUUAAAUCCUACAAAAAUCACAAAAUGCUAUCUUCUUUUAACCCAAGCAUUGUGUGUUCUGCGUGUGAGUGUUCUGUGUGUGUGCGUGAGUGCGUGUGGUGUGGUGUGUGUGGCCGGCCGUGCUAGUUAGUUUAGUUAGUACUGUAGUAGUUAAUUAGUCUAACUAGUAUUUUUUUUGAGACAAAUUAGUCUAACUAGUAGAAUGCCCGUGCGUUGCUACCAGCCUUUUAAUUUAUUUUUUCUCAUUGCAUACAUUUAAUACUUGGUGGAUUUUUGGCACAUUCGCACCACAACGCCUUGGGACCCUUGUCGAUGAAUUCUUUUUGAUCGUCGACAUAGUCCUCUUAGUUAAAUUUUUUCUAUUUUAUUGUGCUACACACAUUGAACUAUGAUGAUGUGUCUUGGGCUCAUCUAGAUGGGCUCUAGUUAUUGCACAUCUAAAUGAGUGAAUUAAGCAUAAAGAGAGAAAAAAAGAAAAAGAAAAUAUUCACACGAAUCUCAACAUAAGAUCAAUGACAUAGGACUUAGAUAUGCAAUAUUUAUGACACAUCUAGAUGUGCUUUAGCAAAACUGAUAAAUUAACUACAACACGAGAAGAGAAGAUAGGCGUGCGUGCCUAGACUGUAAGGUGAUACCUGGGGAGAGUGUUGUACCCCAGCAUAAGCUGGUGGUUGCUGACUUCCGUUUUCGGAUUCGUGUCCAGCGGGAUAAGCGUGCCAAGGUCGCUAGAACGAAGUGGUGGAAGCUCAAGGGGGAGGUAGCUCAGGUGUUCAAGGAGAGGGUAUUUAAGGAGGGCCCUUGGGAGGAAUGAGGGGAUGCGGACAAUGUGUGGAUGAAGAUGGCGACUUGCAUUCGUAAGGUGGCCUCGGAGGAGUUUGGAGUGUCCAGGGGAAGGAGAAGCGAAGAUAAGGAUACCUGGUGGUGGAAUGAUGAUGUCCAGAAGGCGCUUAAAGAGAAGAAAGAUUGCUUCAGACGCCUAUACCUGGAUAGGAGUGCAGACAACAUAGAGAAGUACAAGAUGGCGAAGAAGGCCGCAAAGCGAGCUGUUGGUGAAGCAAGGGGUCGGGCAUAUGAGGACCUCUACCAACGGUUAGGCACAAAGGAAGGUGAAAGGGACAUCUAUAAGAUGGCUAAGAUCCGGGAGAGGAAGACGAGGGAUAUUGGCCAAGUCAAAUGCAUCAAGGACGGAGCAGGCCAACUCUUGGUGAAGGACGAAGAGAUUAAGCAUAGAUGGCGGGAGUACUUCGACAAGCUGUUCAAUGGGGAGAAUGAGAGUUCUACCAUUGAACUGAAUGACUCCUUUGAUGAGACCAGCAUGCGUUUUGUGCGGCGCAUCCAGGAGUCUGAGGUGAAGGAGGCUUUAAAAAGGAUGAAAGGAGGAAAGGCGAUGGGCCCUGAUUGUAUCCCCAUUGAGGUGUGGAAAGGUCUCGGGGACAUAGCGAUAGUAUGGCUAACCAAGCUUUUCAACCUCAUUUUUCGGGCAAACAAGAUGCCAGAAGAAUGGAGACGGAGUAUAUUAGUACCAAUCUUCAAGAACAAGGGAGAUGUUCAGAGUUGUACUAAUUACCGUGGAAUUAAGCUGAUGAGCCAUACAAUGAAGCUAUGGGAGAGAGUCAUUGAGCACCGCUUAAGAAGAAUGACAAGCGUGACCAAAAAUCAGUUUGGUUUCAUGCCUGGGAGGUCGACCAUGGAAGCCAUUUUCUUGGUACGACAACUUAUGGAGAGAUAUAGGGAGCAUAAGAAGGACUUGCAUAUGGUGUUCAUUGACUUGGAGAAGGCCUAUGAUAAGAUACCGCGGAAUGUCAUGUGGUGGGCCUUGGAGAAAUACAAAGUCCCAGCAAAGUACAUUAUCCUCAUCAAGGACAUGUACAAUAAUGUUGUGACAAGUGUUCGAACAAGUGAUGUCGACACCGAUGACUUCCCGAUUAAGAUAGGACUGCAUCAGGGGUCAGCUUUGAGCCCUUAUCUUUUUGCAUGGGUGAUGGAUGAGGUCACAAGGGGUAUACAAGGAGAUAUCCCAUGGUGUAUGCUCUUUGCGGAUGAUGUGGUGCUAGUUGACGAUAGUCGGACGGGGGUAAAUAGGAAGUUAGAGUUAUGGAGACAAACCUUGGAAUCGAAAGGGUUUAGGCUUAGUAGAACUAAAACCGAGUACAUGAUGUGCGGUUUCAGUACUACUAGCUGUGAGGAGGAGGAGGUUAGCCUUGAUGGCCAGGUGGUACCUCGGAAGGACACCUUUCGGUAUUUGGGAUCAAUGUUGCAGGAGGAUGGGGGUAUUGAUGAAGAUAUGAACCAUCGAAUCAAAGUCGGAUGGACGAAGUGGCGCCAAGCUUCUGGCAUUCUCUGUGACAAGAGAGUGCCACAAAAGCUAAAAGGCAAGUUCUACAGGACGGCGGUUCGACCCGCAAUGUUGUAUGGCGCGGAGUGUUGGCCGACUAAAAGGCGACAUGUUCAACAGUUAGGUGUGGCGGAGAUGCGUAUGUUGAGAUGGAUGUGUGGCCACACGAGGAAGGAUCGAGUCCGGAAUGAUGAUAUACGAGAUAGAGUUGGGGUAGCACCAAUUGAGGAGAAGCUUGUCCAACAUCGUUUGAGAUGGUUUGGGCAUAUUCAGCGCAGGCCUCCAGAAGCUCCAGUGCAUAGCGGACGGCUAAAGCGUGCGAAGAAUGUCAAGAGAGGGCGGGGUCGACCGAUUUUGACAUGGGAGGAGUCCGUUAAGAGAGACCUGAAGGAUUGAAGUAUCGACAAAGAGCUAGCUAUGGACAGGGGUGCGUGGAAGCUUGCUAUCCAUGUGCCAGAGCCAUGAGUUGGUUGCGAGAUCUUAUGGGUUUCACCUCUAGCCUACUCCAACUUGCUUGGGACUAAAGGCUUCGUUGUUGUUGUUGUUGAGCACAUGGACAAAAAUUGUACCAGACAUCUCCUAAUUAUCAUAGGAGUCCUAAUUAUCAACGGUUCAAUAAGGAACAUAGGCGGAUGCCAUACAUGAGUCAGCAUGUCCAAUGCUAAUUUGGCACUUGAACAAGAUAUGUUGUUACUACUUUUCCAGUUCUAUACAAUUUUUCUAAGGAUGGCUCGGUCCUACAUCAUCAUGUAAUUCUAUAACCUGAACUAAAAGAUGAUUAGAAUUUAGAAACUAAUCAAUUGUUGUGAGAGAACGGUGUAUGGUAUGCAUAAAGUAUCAUGUAUGCUAAUGACAUUACCACAUGUAUUAAGAAUCAAGUAAAGUUGUAUAUCAAAAAUAUAUCUCCACGAAAAGUUUCAUCUCGAGCAUACUGUUAACCUAAAGGAAUCAACAAUUAAAGCUUCAAAAUAAUAAGAAAGCUGUAGGAAUUCAACAACGUUCAUUAUUCCAUAGAGGUUCUGGGAUGGACACCAUGCAAAACCAAAAGGAUAAGAAACCAUGGUAGUUUGUAUGAAAAUGAUUACCAUCAGGACAGAACAAUUUUUUUGAAAUUUUUCCUUUUGGAGGUACUGACAUGCACUUACUACUAAUUUAAAAAAACAUGCACUACUGAGAUAUGGAAAUUUAUGAUACUGCAAUAAAACUCUACAUGAGUCAGCGCGUCCUAAUUAUCAUCGGUUCAAUAAGGAACAUGGGCGGAUGCCAUACACGAGUCAGCGUGUCCAAUGCUGAUUUGGCACUUGAACAAGAUAUGUUGUUACUACUUUUCCAGUUCUAUACAAUUUUUCUAAGGAUGACUCGGUCCUACGCCAUCAUGUAAUUCUAUAACCUGAACCAAAAGAUGAUUAGAAUUUAGAAACUAAUCAAUUGUUGUGAGAGAACGGUGUAUGGUAUGCAUAAAGUAUCAUGUAUGCUAAUGACAUUACCACAUGGAUUAAGAAUCAAGUAAAGUUGUAUAUCAAAAAUGUAUCUCCACGAAAAGUUUCAUCUCGAGCAUACUGUUAACCUAAAGGAAUCAACAAUUAAAGCUUCAAAAUAAUAAGAAAACUGUAGGAAUUCAACAACGUUCAUUAUUCCAUAGAGGUUCUGGGAUGGACACCAUGCAAAACCAAAAGGACAAGAAACCAUGGUAGUUUGUAUGAAAAUGAUUACCAUCAGGACAGAACAAUUUUCUUGAAAUUUUUCCUUUUGGAGGUACUGACAUGCACUUACUAUUAAUUUUAAAAAACAUGCACUACUGAGAUAUGGAAAUUUAUGAUACUGCAAUAAAACUCUACAAUUGAGUAGAAAAUGACCAAAAUGGAGAUCUCCAUGCGCCUACAUGACCUUACUUUUUAAAAAGUUAAAAACAACUUGCCCGCUAAGAGUAAAAAAAUGCAUCUACUAUCUUCUUGGUGUUUGGAUCACAGAGCUCACCAAUAUAUGCAUUCGACUUUACGGCUAGCACCCAUGAUAGGAAGUUGGGCGCAUCAGCUAGGGCGUAUGAGAUUGCUUCAACUCACCUUGCGGCGACCCCAUCAACAAUUACAAACCGGGCGGCGACGUCCUCAGGCAUCAGGUAUUGCGACGUGCCGAUGUCGAUGGCCAGCUCAGAGCCCAUGUCAUGGUACAACAACGCCGAGUGCCAGGGAACGAUCUCUCAGGCGUUGCGACCGUGGAGGCCAUGGCGACGUCGAAUCGCUUCUUGAAGUCGGUUGCUCCCACGCGCGAACGCCGUGACUGACCAUUCUCGGCGAUGUAGAACACGCUUAGGGUUGCCAAUGCCACCCAAAGGUUGUGCCCCAUCACUGUGAUGCUCACAUCCUCGUCCUUGUACGUGUCCACCAACUUCCGCACCUUAAUCAGCAGUGACUCCUGGCUUUUUUCCCUCCUUCAAGAGGUACCACACUUAGUAGGAAACACGAGGUACGGCAAUAAGUAUAAAGAAUCUAUAGUCCAAAUAUAAAUAUAUGUUUGUACAUAACAUUGACAACUGGAUAAAGCAUAUGUGCAAAUUCUAAGAAACUAAUAUACUUAUGUUCCAACUCAAAUACUCAAUUGAUGAUACACAAAAGAAACGGAUCAACCGAAAUAAGAAAAAGAGCAUUGUUUCCGGACAUGACCGACAAUAUUCCUCUUCCUCCCCUUUAAUUUUUAGAAUAUGAAUUAAGUUCUUGGCUGAUGGAAUUAGAAGCCAUAUGUCCAAAACCCCUGAAGCUGAAUAAUAUGCUCCUUUAACUUUGAGGUCCGUUCCUCCAUCAUUAUGCAUGUUCCUUAGUAAGAGUUUAUUACCUCCAUUAAGGUGAAUGCAGCGAACCAGUGGCACAAAGAUCUUGAAAUUUGAAUGCUGGAAUAAAUCCAUGCAUGAAUGUAUUGUCCUACGACAUUGGCACCAAAUAAACACCAAAACUAAAUCAAGGUGCACAAGAGGCCUCUAGUGGGAUGGAAUAAAAGAUAAAGAAGCUUAACUGCACUACCACAGAAAUAAAAGAUACUCCCUCCGUUCCUUUAUCUAAGGUGCAUUUUUUUUACAAAAAUUUCACGAUGUAAGGUGUAUUUGUUGUAAUCUCACAAAAAUUUCACAAUGUAAGGAGUAAUUAUGAGGUGAAAAGAACUGAAAAUCCAAAGUAAACUGAACCGACAGAACCGAUGGGCAUGCAUCUUCUUGUUUGUACCACUCAUGACCCCAUGCUGGCCAAUUCCUCCCUCUCUCCUGCGAACCAGAAAAAAAAAUCAGUACGGACAAAAGUUUGACUUUCCUUACUUAAAUACUAAUUUGACUUCAACGGUAAAUCUAAGCAAGAAAAGGAACUGACCUGGUUGAUCUUUUCUUGUUUUGUUCCCGUUACCGCUUUCUAUAGUAGAACCCAAUCUGUUUUUUGAUAGAAUGGAAAAAAGGCACUAACCACACUCUUGUUGAACUUGAGAAAUUAUACAUUGGAGAAAAGCAAAUUAUAGAUUAAUACAUAAGACAAAAAAAUACUCCUUGCGCGCAACCGAUGUGGAGACAAACUACAAGAACCUGAUAAUCCGCACAUAUUAAGGUGUCCAUUUUGAACUUUAAAGUCUGUAGAAAAUGUUGCCUGCACCACUAUCACCAUUAGGAGACUUCAUCCAUUUUCCCUACACUGAACUUAAAGUCAUCAACAGUAGUGGUUAAAUAGGAAGUUUAUCACUUUGAUGUGUAGCAUGGUGGUCAUAGAUGUAGCUGCAAAGAAGCUGAAUGAUUACAUGUUUUAGCGACUGAGUUUUAGUUUCAAUAUUAUUAAAAAGUGCUUUAUCAAUAAUACUCAGAGGUCAAACGCAUGGCAUUGCUCUGUAGUAUACAUAUAUGUCCUCAAGUAAUCAAACACGAGCAUAUAAAAUAAAGCACGGUUACCAAACAUGCCUUGCCCAUUUUAUUGUGUAAUAGGAAUGAGAUCUGACACUAUGAAAAACAGUAAUUUCCUAUGGACUGAGACAACUCUCAAAUGUGUCCAUAAAAAAGAUACAAGCAGGAACCCAAAAGACGAUUAUCUUACCAAAAUUUUGCACUUCCGUUGGGCUUGAACCUGAGAUCUCCGCUGGAAACACCAUGGCAAAUGCCUGCCGGUCCAACCACCUACCGACCUUCACAUUGUCCAAAAUAUCAAUACCCACCCUGAUACAACCAAAUGGUCUGUAGUUAGUCUAGAAAGAUUAGUAGAAAAUCAACCACAUGGCGGAGGAGAUCGACGGUGUGGCUGUACGAUUGGCGGAGUCGAAGAAGAAGAAGCUCCGGCGCCAUUGACAUGGAGGAGGUCAUCCGCCGUCGAUGAGGGGCCUUCCGGGCAUCCUCACCACUUGAAAAAGGGGCUCCGGCGCCAUUGACGUGGAGGAGGUCAUCCGCCGGCGAUGAGGGGCCUUCCGGGCAUCCUCACCACUUGGAAAAAAUUGUGCCGAACUGUUCCACUUCACUCCAUGCCAUGGCCUAACACAUACAAAACAACACGGCGAUAUCUCCAAUGCGCGCCACGAACUUCCCGUCGUCCUCCUGGCCGCUGUCCUCGUCUUGCUAUAACCGUGCCGGUGCAUGACGUUUGACCCAUCAACUAUGGUGGUCACGCGCACAAGGCUGAGCGGGGCACACACACCUUGGAUUCACAGGCCGCAGGCAUGCCUUGCACGAGGAUGUACGACACUUCUGUCUUCGACCAUCAAGAAGAUGGAAGGAUGCGGUGCCGGACGGGGAUCAUGAACUUCGCCUGACUCGGCAAGGAUGAUGUCGUCUCUCUCAUGCCGGACUCGGCCAAGACAUCGGGCACGGGCACGAUCGUCCGAACAUGGUCGAUGACAGCUACGUCGAUUUCAUGGUGGCCGGAGAAGACCAGGGACGAUGGGGAUCAGGAAGUGAAGAGUAAGGAGAGAAGUUGACAAAUAGGAAGGCUGGCGUUGAAUGCGGUGCGGUAGAUCAGGAGCAUAUAGUUGGAAAAGAUCUGCGGGCGAAUCGCAGACUAUAUAUGAGAAAAAGGAAACAAAUUGCACACAAAUAGGAAACAGAGGGAGUACCUUCCUAUCCACAUGCAAGAGCGCAUGCAUCUCCUUUUUUUUGCUUUUUCUUACCGUGGGAAAAACCAGAGAAGGUGAGCAAACGGGAGGUGGUUUUUUUUGAUAAAAACCGGAGGAAUGAUUUCCCAAUCGAUAUGGGUGGGAUUUCCUUCGAUGAGAUGGGUGGAACGAAUGAACGAAACAACGUACGUACUCCUUCAUUAGGAGUAGAGAUAGUAGAUGGCAUGCGGGACCAACUGUUUAUAUUAAAAUGCUAAACUAGAUUUAGAAUAGAUAAGUCCAUGACAAGUAGGCCACUAUUCACUUUGACUAGUCAAUGCUGACUUGGUUGUUGACUAAGUCAACUGGGCCCUGGCCCCACAUGUCAGCUUCUCUGUACCUCUGGCUGGGUACACUUUUGGGUACCCUAGCCUUUUUUUUCUUUUAAUUUCGAAUUAGUAAUAAAUCCAGGAAUUUCAUAAAAACUUUAAAUCUUUGAAAAUUCAUAGAAAAUAAACCGUAACUCGGAUGAAAAUGUCUUCUACAUGAAAGUUGCUCAGAUAAAUCCAACAAAUCCGAAUACGUUAUAUCUUUUCUUGUCAGAUGCCUCUGACUAUCUGAACAUAGAACUUUCCCCUUUCGGUCGUCUGUCUGACACAAGUCCGGAAUCGGGAAUACCUUCCCGGUUGAAUUCCCCCUUCACCUGUUUCGUGCAGCACUACUUUAGAACACUCCUAGCGCUGUGUGUUGCCAUGUUAUGCUUUGUGAUGCUUUGUUUGCUUUAUAUUUAUUGUUUCUUCCCCCUCUUCUCUCCGGUAGACCCCGAGACCGAUGCUCCUCCUGUGAUCGACUACGUCGACGAUGACCCCUCCUUGCCAGAGCAACCAGGCAAGCAAACACCCCCUUGAGCAUUCCGAUAUCGCCCAUUUCUUUCCCUCUCAUGCUUGCAUUAGAACUGCCACUGUUUUCUGUAUGAUCCUACUCUGAUGCAUAGCCUGUUGUUGUUACAUGCUUUCAUAUCUUACCUGCUUAUCCUAAACUGCUUAGUAUAGGAUGGUUAGUGAUCCAUCAGUGCCCCCCACCUUGUCCCAGUUGCCCCGCUUUAUGUUCGAUGAUUCGAUCAACGUGAUCGACACCCAGGCCCCGACACCGCACAUCACCCCCCUUAGUUGUACGACUCUGCAGAGUUAUCAUCGAGUGUCGAGGGUGGAACCUCUUACAUCACUCCUGAUGAGAUCUCCGUAGUGUAGCUUUACGGUCGAGGCCAUCGAGGGUGAUUUCCUCCUUAACCACUUCCGUUACGGCUCUGUCAUGCAACCCAUCAAACGUGAACCUCGAGGGUGGAUCCUCUUACAUUCACCUUGAUGACAACAUCGAGUGGAAUUCACCGGGGGUGAUUCCUCGGGGUUUUUCCCUUGGUGUUAGACACACAGUUACUAUGGUUACUGUGACUUUGCACUGAACCAUGUGACUAAAGAAGGGUUGACCCUGAGUGGUACUCGCGCGAGCUUAAUUGCGAGUGAUGUGGAGUCGGGUUGACCUGGAAGGUGCCCGCGAGAUACUUACGAGGCGUGGCCGGGCAUUCUUAGCCCUUGCCACAAGUACUCGAGACGGGGCGACGGGGUCACAUCGAUCGUGAGUCUCUGCUUGUUACCGUGCGUUCCUAAUCCACUACGAUUUGGAUAUUUGAUCCGAGGGGCCUCUGGCCUGAUAGCACUAACCAUCACGUGGGCAUAGUAUGGGCGUUCUGCGUCGUAUACAUCAGCCGAAGCCUAAAUGAUGUCAGCAACUGAGCGGUGCGCGCCGGGUUGGACUGGAAAGCACCUACCUUGUUAAAGGAGGUAGCUAGGUAUGCUCACCGGCCGCGUUCGCAACGUGUAGGAGUUCCCGAAGAGAUGGCCCAUGACCCCUGGGGGCAUAGGUUUAGUCCGGCGUGCUGGCCUCUCUAUUAAGCCUAGGUCGGGUUGCGGCGUAUUGUUUGGCCGAGGCCGGGCAUGACCCAGGAAAGUGUGUCUGGCCGGAGUUAAUCGAGCGUGGUGGGUAAGUUGGUGCACCCCUGCAGGGAAGAAAAUAUCUAUCGAUAGCAUGUCCUACGGUAACAGACACUUGGAGUUGUAUCCUGAUCGAUACAACUAGACUGGAUAAUUAGGGUGAGACAUGGUGAUGAGAAUUGGAUUGUGAUGAGAAAUGGAUAGUAUGGCUCUGGGAUUACUUUCUUGCAGGGAGUCGAGAAAGGAUCUUUGGCCGAGGUUGAUAACUCUACUUCUACUUUACUUUAUGUUACUCUACUCCCUCCUGUUGCUGCAAGAUGGUGGUUUCCAGAAGAUGCUAGUCUUCGAUAGGCUAGGCUUUCCCCUUCCCUUCUGGCAUUCUGCAGUUUAGUCCACAGAUACAACCCAUUUCUUUCAUACAGAUGCAUACUUAGUUUAGAUCUGAUGUAAGUCUUGCGAGUACUUUGGAUGAGUACUCACGGUUGCUUUGCUACUUCUUUUCCCCCAUACCCGAUUGUUGCGACUAGAUGACGGAGCCCAGGAGUCAGACGACGCCACCGAUGUCUACUACUACCCGGAGGAUGCCUACUACUACGUGAAGACCGCCAACAACUAGGAGUAGUUAGGAGGCUCCCAGGCAGGAGGCCUUGCCUUUUCGAUCAUUGUUGCUUUUGUGCUAGCCUUCUUAAGACAAUCUUGUUUAACUCAUGUCUGUACUCAGAUAUUGUUGCUUCCGCUGACUCUUGUGUAUUCGAGCUUAUGUAUUCGAGCCUUCGAGGCCCCUGGCUUGUAAUAUAAAGCUUGUAUUAUUUUAAUUUGUGUCUAGAGUUGUGUUGUGAUAUCUUCCCGUGAGUCCUUGAUCUUGAUCGUACACAUUUGCGUGUAUGAUUAGUGUACGAUUGAAUCGAGGGCGUCACACCCUCGCACCUGCACAAAACAAAUAAAUCCUCGCAACCAACGCGAUAAGGGGUUGUCAAUCCCUUUAGGGUCACUUACGAGAGUGAGAUCUGAUAGAUAUGAUAAGAUAAUAUUUUUGGUAUUUUUGUGGUAAAGAUGCAAAGUAAAAUAAAAG